Molecule: ribosomal RNA, 252 nt
Filed under: uncultured bacterium
Lineage: Bacteria
Description: partial 16S ribosomal RNA
Rfam family: Bacterial small subunit ribosomal RNA
Source: RNAcentral
UACGUAAGGUCCGAGCGUUGUCCGGAAUCAUUGGGCGUAAAGGGUACGUAGGCGGAUAAGCAAGUUAGAAGUGAAAUCCUAUAGCUCAACUAUAGUACGCUUUUGAAACUGCUCAUCUUGAGUUAUGGAAGGGAAAGUGGAAUUCCUAGUGUAGCGGUGGAAUGCGUAGAUAUUAGGAGGAAUACCGGUGGCGAAGGCGACUUUCUGGCCAUUAUCUGACGCUGAGGUACGAAAGCGUGGGGAGCAAACAGG